GACGAACGCUGGCGGCGUGCCUAACACAUGCAAGUCGAGCGGGGUUGAAGCGAGAGGUAACUCGAACUUCUACCUAGCGGCGGACGGGUGAGUAACGCGUGGGCAACCUGCCUCAAGGUCUGGGAUAACAGCCCGAAAGGGCUGCUAAUACUGGGUAUGCUUGUGGCCUCGCAUGGGGCUAUGAGCAAAGGGGAAACCCGCCUUGAGAUGGGCCCGCGUCCCAUCAGCUAGUUGGUGAGGUAACAGCUCACCAAGGCGACGACGGGUAGCCGGCCUGAGAGGGUGACCGGCCACACUGGGACUGAGACACGGCCCAGACUCCUACGGGGGGCAGCAGUGGGGGAUCUUGCACAAUGGGCGAAAGCCUGAUGCAGCGACGCCGCGUGAGCGAAGAAGGCCUUCGGGUUGUAAAGCUCUGUCUGGAGGGACGAAGGAAGUGACGGUACUCCGGAGGAGCCACGGCUAACUACGUGCCAGCAGCCGCGGUAAGAUC
This 493-nucleotide ribosomal RNA is filed under the name uncultured bacterium. RNAcentral describes it as "bacterial SSU rRNA". It matches the Rfam family "Bacterial small subunit ribosomal RNA", at positions 28 to 526 of the family's 1533-position model. The record is from RNAcentral.